AUUGAACGCUGGCGGCAUACCUUACACAUGCAAGUCGAACGGCAGCACGGGAGCAAUCCUGGUGGCGAGUGGCGAACGGGUGAGUAAAGUAUCGGAACGUGCCCAGUCGAGGGGGAUAACGUAGCGAAAGUUACGCUAAUAACGCAUACGAUCUAUUGAUGAAAGCGGGGGAUCGCAACACCUCGCGCGAUUGGAGCGGCCGAUAUCAGAUUAGGUAGUUGGUGGGGUAAAGGCUCACCAAGCCGACGAUCUGUAGCUGGUCUGAGAGGACGACCAGCCACACUGGGACUGAGACACGGCCCAGACUCCUACGGGAGGCAGCAGUGGGGAAUUUUGGACAAUGGGCGAAAGCCUGUUCCAGCCAUGCCGCGUGCAGGAUGAAGGCCUUCGGGUUGUAACUGCUUUUGUACGGAACGAAAAGGUUUGGCCUAAUAAGCUGAGCUCAUGACGGUACCGUAAGAAUAAGCACCGGCUAACUACGUGCCAGCCGCCGCCGUAA
This 499-nucleotide ribosomal RNA is filed under the name uncultured bacterium. RNAcentral's name for it is "partial 16S ribosomal RNA". It matches the Rfam family "Bacterial small subunit ribosomal RNA", at positions 30 to 523 of the family's 1533-position model. The record is from RNAcentral.